GGGCAGUGAUGAAACAACAUGCCAACUGCAUUCUUUGAUGAUAAAGAGGCUGUUUCUGAGCUC
Molecule: small nucleolar RNA, 63 nt
Filed under: Monopterus albus (swamp eel)
Lineage: Eukaryota; Metazoa; Chordata; Actinopteri; Synbranchiformes; Synbranchidae
Description: Small nucleolar RNA SNORD95 (ENSMALG00000015055.1)
Source: RNAcentral